Molecule: ribosomal RNA, 459 nt
Filed under: uncultured bacterium
Lineage: Bacteria
Description: SSU rRNA
Rfam family: Bacterial small subunit ribosomal RNA
Source: RNAcentral
AGAAUCAACGCUGGCGGCGUGCCUAACACAUGCAAGUCGAACGAGAAAGGGUAGCAAUACCUGAGUAAAGUGGCGCACGGGUGAGUAACACGUGACUAACCUACCCUAGAGUGGGGGAUAACUGAGGGAAACCUUAGCUAAUACCGCAUAAUACCCACGGGUCAAAGGAGCAAUUCGCUUUAGGAGGGGGUCGCGGUCGAUUAGUUAGUUGGCGGGGUAAUGGCCCACCAAGACUUUGAUCGAUAUCCGGCCUGAGAGGGCGCACGGACACACUGGAACUGAAACACGGUCCAGACUCCUACGGGAGGCAGCAGUGGGGAAUUUUGCGCAAUGGGGGAAACCCUGACGCAGCAACGCCGCGUGGAGGAUGAAGUACUUCGGUACGUAAACUCCUUUCGAUCGGGACGAUAAUGACGGUACCGGAAGAAGAAGCCCGGCUAACUUCGCGCCAGCAGCCGC